RNAcentral lists this ribosomal RNA (497 nucleotides) under uncultured bacterium. RNAcentral describes it as "partial 16S ribosomal RNA". It matches the Rfam family "Bacterial small subunit ribosomal RNA", at positions 28 to 507 of the family's 1533-position model. The record is from RNAcentral.
GAUGAACGCUGGCGGCGUGCCUAAUACAUGCAAGUCGAGCGAACAGACGAGGAGCUUGCUCCUCUGACGUUAGCGGCGGACGGGUGAGUAACACGUGGAUAACCUACCUAUAAGACUGGGAUAACUUCGGGAAACCGGAGCUAAUACCGGAUAAUAUAUUGAACCGCAUGGUUCAAUAGUGAAAGACGGUUUUGCUGUCACUUAUAGAUGGAUCCGCGCCGCAUUAGCUAGUUGGUAAGGUAACGGCUUACCAAGGCAACGAUGCGUAGCCGACCUGAGAGGGUGAUCGGCCACCCUGGAACUGAGCCCCGGUCCAGACUCCUACGGGAGGCCGCAGUAGGGAAUCUUCCGCAAUGGGCGAAAGCCUGACGGAGCAACGCCACGUGAGUGAUGAAGGUCUUCGGAUCGUAAAACUCUGUUAUUAGGGAAGAACAAAUGUGUAAGUAACUAUGCACGUCUUGACGGUACCUAAUCAGAGAGCCACGGCUAACUACGUG